Molecule: ribosomal RNA, 478 nt
Filed under: uncultured bacterium
Lineage: Bacteria
Description: partial 16S ribosomal RNA
Rfam family: Bacterial small subunit ribosomal RNA
Source: RNAcentral
GACGAACGCUGGCGGCGUGCUUAACACAUGCAAGUCGAACGGUAAGGCCCUUCGGGGUACACGAGUGGCGAACGGGUGAGUAACACGUGGGUGAUCUGCCCUGCACUUCGGGAUAAGCCUGGGAAACUGGGUCUAAUACCGGAUAGGACCACUGCCUGCAUGGGUGGUGGUGGAAAGCUGUUGCGGUGUGGGAUGGGCCCGCGGCCUAUCAGCUGGUUGGUGGGGGGAUGGCCUACCAGGGGGAAGACGGGUAGCCGGCCGGAGAGGGUGACCGGCCACACUGGGACUGAGAUACGGCCCAGACUCCUACGGGAGGCAGCAGUGGGGAAUAUUGCACAAUGGGCGCAAGCCUGAUGCAGCGACGCCGCGUGAGGGAUGACGGCCUUCGGGUUGUAAACCUCUUUCAGCACCGACGAAGCGCAAGUGACGGUAGGUGCAGAAGAAGGACCGGCCAACUACGUGCCAGCCGCCGCAGUAA